Molecule: ribosomal RNA, 407 nt
Filed under: uncultured bacterium
Lineage: Bacteria
Description: partial 16S ribosomal RNA
Rfam family: Bacterial small subunit ribosomal RNA
Source: RNAcentral
AUUGAACGCUGGCGGCAGGCCUAACACAUGCAAGUCGAGCGGAGCGGCGGACGGGUGAGUAAUGCCUAGGAAUCUGCCUGGUAGUGGGGGAUAACGUCCGGAAACGGGCGCUAAUACCGCAUACUAUCAGAUGAGCCUAGGUCGGAUUAGCUAGUUGGGGGGGUAAAGGUCUACCAAGGCGACGAUCCGUAACUGGUCUGAGAGGAUGAUCAGUCACACGGGAACGGAGACACGGUCCAGACGCCUACGGGAGGCAGCAGUGGGGAAUAUUGGACAAUGGGCGAAAGCCUGAUGGAGCCAUGCCGCGUGUGUGAAGAAGGUAUUCGGAUUGUAAAGCACUUUAAGUUGGGAGGCGGUACCAAAAGAAUAAGCACAGGCUAAGUUCGUGCCAGCAGCCGCGGUAAUUG